GUGUUUGUAACCAGACCAGUAAUCCAUGGCUGGAGGAGCCGUGCUGAUGGAGGAGUCGUGCUGAAGGCCCUGCCUUGUGGAGGAGCUGGUGGAGGCCCUGCCUGGUGAAGGACGUCUGUCGUGGGACCAGGACUCUGUCUGAGGAGAGCUGCUCGAGAAGCUGAGACGCUGGAGGACGACUAGGAAUCGACCAACAAGGAUUCCUCAACGUGUUUCUGGAGCGGAGGCGAGCUGGUAGGGGAGCCGUGAAUCUGGAGGAUGACCAUCACUCUACCAACAAGGAUUGUAAACACACCUGAGCUGAACCUCACCUGAUCCUGUUUGGUCGGGGGUAGACACACCUGAGCUAAACCCGCCCUGAUCCUGACAUCCUGCUGGUCCCGUCUCCUCAGUUCAUCUGAGCCUCGUCCUCUAGAAGACCUGCUGAGCUCAGCAGUCUGAGGCUGAUGGAUCAAUGAUUUUCUUGAUCCCACAUGUAACCGUGUGCUUCCACACGCCUUUCCGUCACGUCUGUCACUAACCUCACUACUUCACUACUCUCUACUGCUUCCUCUUUUCUUCCUUCUCUGUGGUUCAAACCUUUACACUGAAGGCGCGUCUUCCUGCCCUCAGAGGGUUUAGCGUUAGGGUUGAGAGUCAGGGUUUAGAGUCAGGGACAGAGCUGGUCAGGGAGGACUGCUUUUACGCAAACCUCUUCACUUGCUUUCGGAAUGGUGGUGACAUUUUGAAAAGAUUCAUUUGGGAAAAUGUUUUCCUCUGCUUUCCUUUACAAAAUUGUAUUAAACUUCUGUCAAGUGUUUUUGUUUAUGUAUUAAAAUCCCACAUUGACUUCUACAUGUUUGGUGCGGUUCAUUUAAUUGUCCUUUAACUUGGUUAAUGUCAAGCUAAACUCCUGCAAUACAUUUAAUAUACAUGAUUGUUAUUCAGCAAUGUUCACAUAAUUCAUUUUGUAAAAAUAUGAAACCUCCAUAUUACUACUAAAUU
Long non-coding RNA from Gadus macrocephalus (Pacific cod), 984 nucleotides. RefSeq lists it as uncharacterized. The transcript has 4 exons. Lineage: Eukaryota; Metazoa; Chordata; Actinopteri; Gadiformes; Gadidae. The record is from RefSeq and is a predicted model, not a curated record.